This 215-nucleotide ribosomal RNA is filed under the name uncultured bacterium. RNAcentral's name for it is "partial 16S ribosomal RNA". It matches the Rfam family "Bacterial small subunit ribosomal RNA", at positions 524 to 740 of the family's 1533-position model. The record is from RNAcentral.
UACAGAGGUCUCAAGCGUUGUUCGGAUUCAUUGGGCGUAAAGGGUGCGUAGGUGGCGCCGUAAGUCAGGUGUGAAUUCGGAGCUUAACUCCGAAACUGCAUUUGAUACUGCGGUGCUUGAGGACUGGAGAGGAGACUGGAAUUUACGGUGUAGCAGUGAAAUGCGUAGAGAUCGUAAGGAAGACCAGUGGCGAAGGCGGGUCUCUGGACAGUUCC